UACGGAGGAUGCGAGCGUUAUCCGGAUUUAUUGGGUUUAAAGGGUGCGUAGGCGGUGCCUUAAGUCAGCGGUCAAAGCCCGGGGCUCAACCCCGGCCAGCCGUUGAGACUGGGGCGCUGGAGAGGAAGAGAGGCAUGCGGAAUUCGCGGUGUAGCGGUGAAAUGCUUAGAUAUCGCGAAGAACUCCGAUUGCGAAGGCAGCAUGCCGGCUUCUGUCUGACGCUGAGGCACGAAAGCGUGGGGAUCGAACAGG
RNAcentral lists this ribosomal RNA (252 nucleotides) under uncultured bacterium. RNAcentral describes it as "partial 16S ribosomal RNA". It matches the Rfam family "Bacterial small subunit ribosomal RNA", at positions 524 to 776 of the family's 1533-position model. The record is from RNAcentral.